Molecule: ribosomal RNA, 1372 nt
Filed under: uncultured bacterium
Lineage: Bacteria
Description: bacterial SSU rRNA
Rfam family: Bacterial small subunit ribosomal RNA
Source: RNAcentral
GAUGAACGCUGGCGGCGUGCCUAAUACAUGCAAGUCGAGCGAACGGACGAGAAGCUUGCUUCUCUGAUGUUAGCGGCGGACGGGUGAGUAACACGUGGAUAACCUACCUAUAAGACUGGGAUAACUUCGGGAAACCGGAGCUAAUACCGGAUAAUAUUUUGAACCGCAUGGUUCAAAAGUAAAAGACGGUCUUGCUGUCACUUAUAGAUGGAUCCGCGCUGCAUUAGCUAGUUGGUAAGGUAACGGCUUACCAAGGCAACGAUGCAUAGCCGACCUGAGAGGGUGAUCGGCCACACUGGAACUGAGACACGGUCCAGACUCCUACGGGAGGCAGCAGUAGGGAAUCUUCCGCAAUGGGCGAAAGCCUGACGGAGCAACGCCGCGUGAGUGAUGAAGGUCUUCGGAUCGUAAAACUCUGUUAUUAGGGAAGAAUAUAUGUGUAAGUAACUGUGCACAUCUUGACGGUACCUAAUCAGAAAGCCACGGCUAACUACGUGCCAGCAGCCGCGGUAAUACGUAGGUGGCAAGCGUUAUCCGGAAUUAUUGGGCGUAAAGCGCGCGUAGGCGGUUUUUUAAGUCUGAUGUGAAAGCCCACGGCUCAACCGUGGAGGGUCAUUGGAAACUGGAAAACUUGAGUGCAGAAGAGGAAAGUGGAAUUCCAUGUGUAGCGGUGAAAUGCGCAGAGAUAUGGAGGAACACCAGUGGCGAAGGCAACUUUCUGGUCUGUAACUGACGCUGAUGUGCGAAAGCGUGGGGAUCAAACAGGAUUAGAUACCCUGGUAGUCCACGCCGUAAACGAUGAGUGCUAAGUGUUAGGGGGUUUCCGCCCCUUAGUGCUGCAGCUAACGCAUUAAGCACUCCGCCUGGGGAGUACGACCGCAAGGUUGAAACUCAAAGGAAUUGACGGGGACCCGCACAAGCGGUGGAGCAUGUGGUUUAAUUCGAAGCAACGCGAAGAACCUUACCAAAUCUUGACAUCCUUUGACAACUCUAGAGAUAGAGCCUUCCCCUUCGGGGGACAAAGUGACAGGUGGUGCAUGGUUGUCGUCAGCUCGUGUCGUGAGAUGUUGGGUUAAGUCCCGCAACGAGCGCAACCCUUAAGCUUAGUUGCCAUCAUUAAGUUGGGCACUCUAAGUUGACUGCCGGUGACAAACCGGAGGAAGGUGGGGAUGACGUCAAAUCAUCAUGCCCCUUAUGAUUUGGGCUACACACGUGCUACAAUGGACAAUACAAAGGGCAGCGAAACCGCGAGGUCAAGCAAAUCCCAUAAAGUUGUUCUCAGUUCGGAUUGUAGUCUGCAACUCGACUACAUGAAGCUGGAAUCGCUAGUAAUCGUAGAUCAGCAUGCUACGGUGAAUACGUUCCCGGGUCU